AUCCGAAUGACGAGUCUCAAAUAGAACGAAACGCGAGUCCUUUAU
RNAcentral lists this non-coding RNA (45 nucleotides) under Schistosoma mansoni. Lineage: Eukaryota; Metazoa; Platyhelminthes; Trematoda; Strigeidida; Schistosomatidae. The record is from RNAcentral.